This 427-nucleotide ribosomal RNA is filed under the name uncultured Limnohabitans sp. RNAcentral's name for it is "partial 16S ribosomal RNA". It matches the Rfam family "Bacterial small subunit ribosomal RNA", at positions 355 to 774 of the family's 1533-position model. The record is from RNAcentral. Lineage: Bacteria; Pseudomonadati; Pseudomonadota; Betaproteobacteria; Burkholderiales; Comamonadaceae.
UGGGGAAUUUUGGACAAUGGGCGAAAGCCUGAUCCAGCCAUUCCGCGUGCAGGAUGAAGGCCCUCGGGUUGUAAACUGCUUUUGUACAGAACGAAAAGGUUUCUACUAAUACUAGGAGCUCAUGACGGUACUGUAAGAAUAAGCACCGGCUAACUACGUGCCAGCAGCCGCGGUAAUACGUAGGGUGCAAGCGUUAAUCGGAAUUACUGGGCGUAAAGCGUGCGCAGGCGGUUAUAUAAGUCAGAUGUGAAAUCCCCGGGCUCAACCUGGGAACUGCAUUUGAGACUGUAUAGCUAGAGUACGGUAGAGGGGGAUGGAAUUCCGCGUGUAGCAGUGAAAUGCGUAGAUAUGCGGAGGAACACCGAUGGCGAAGGCAAUCCCCUGGACCUGUACUGACGCUCAUGCACGAAAGCGUGGGGAGCAAACA